Potamilus streckersoni is the source of this 84-nucleotide non-coding RNA. NCBI's taxonomy places the organism in Eukaryota, Metazoa, Mollusca, Bivalvia, Unionida, Unionidae. The record is from the annotation of a GenBank genome assembly.
GCUUCGGUGGCUUAGUGGUUAGAGCGUCCGCCUCGUAUGCGGGAGGUCGUGGGUUUGAAUCCCGGCAUGGUCAUACCAGAGACU